RNAcentral lists this ribosomal RNA (367 nucleotides) under Hoffmannius sp. AVDM-2012. Its description in RNAcentral is "partial 16S ribosomal RNA". Lineage: Eukaryota; Metazoa; Arthropoda; Arachnida; Scorpiones; Vaejovidae. The record is from RNAcentral.
CAUAAUCAUUUGUCUUUUAAUUAAGGACUGGAAUGAAAGGUUUGACUAUGUAUUUCUGUCUUAUAAUAAUAUUUUGAAAUUUAUAUUUUAGUAAAAAAGCUAAAAUUAUUUAUAGGGACGAGAAGACCCUAUCAAGUUUUACAAUCUAAAAUUUAUUUUCAAAUUAAAUUUAAAAUUGUUUUGCUGGGGCAGCAGAUAAAAAAUUUUUAUUUUAAAAUUAUGAUAAAUAAAUCUUGAAAAAUCAAAAAAUUUUUAAUUAAAAAUAAAUUACUGUAGGGAUAACAGCAUAAUUUUUUUAGAGAGUUCUUAUCAUCAAAAAAGUUUGUGACCUCGAUGUUGGAUUAAAAUUCCUAAAUUCGUGCAAUAA